RNAcentral lists this ribosomal RNA (120 nucleotides) under Lepisosteus oculatus (spotted gar). Lineage: Eukaryota; Metazoa; Chordata; Actinopteri; Semionotiformes; Lepisosteidae. The record is from RNAcentral.
GCCAGCAGCCCUAUCACCUUGCAGCUCACAGCUGGCAGCCCCACUGGAGCUCAGCAGGUGUGAGCCUGGCCAGUACCUGGAUGCGAGACCUCCUGGGAAAAGCUAAGGUUGCUGCUGGUG